AUUGAACGCUGGCGGCAUGCCUUACACAUGCAAGUCGAACGGUAACGGGCCUUCGGGUGCCGACGAGUGGCGAACGGGUGAGUAAUACAUCGGAACGUGCCCGAUCGUGGGGGAUAACGAGGCGAAAGCUUUGCUAAUACCGCAUACGAUCUACGGAUGAAAGCAGGGGACCGCAAGGCCUUGCGCGGACGGAGCGGCCGAUGGCAGAUUAGGUAGUUGGUGGGAUAAAAGCUUACCAAGCCGACGAUCUGUAGCUGGUCUGAGAGGAUGAUCAGCCACACUGGGACUGAGACACGGCCCAGACUCCUACGGGAGGCAGCAGUGGGGAAUUUUGGACAAUGGGCGCAAGCCUGAUCCAGCCAUGCCGCGUGCAGGAUGAAGGCCCUCGGGUUGUAAACUGCUUUUGUACGGAACGAAAAGCCUUCUUUUAAUACAGGAGGGUCAUGACGGUACCGUAAGAAUAAGUACCGGCUAACUACGUG
RNAcentral lists this ribosomal RNA (482 nucleotides) under uncultured bacterium. Its description in RNAcentral is "partial 16S ribosomal RNA". It matches the Rfam family "Bacterial small subunit ribosomal RNA", at positions 30 to 507 of the family's 1533-position model. The record is from RNAcentral.